Molecule: long non-coding RNA, 296 nt
Filed under: Mytilus galloprovincialis (Mediterranean mussel)
Lineage: Eukaryota; Metazoa; Mollusca; Bivalvia; Mytilida; Mytilidae
Source: RNAcentral
UAACCAGAUGCUCCGCAGGGCACAGCUUUAUACGACCGCAGAGGUUGAACCCUGAACGGUUGGGGCAAGUAUGGACACAACAUUCAAGCUGGAUUCAGCUCUAAAUUUGGAUUGUGAUUAAAUAGUUGACACAGCAUAGGUUUCUGACACAGAAUGAAUGUGGUCUAAUGAACUUAAAAUUUUUGUUUUGCCUUUGAGCAAUUAACUAUGCUGUUGAAUAUUAAUCCUCUCAAAAACAUGUUUGAAGAAAUUUUCUUUUUAUUUAUGAAAUCUGAAAUGAGAAAAAUUUAACCCCC